AACCCUGCCUGAGCAGCUCCUGCAUUGCUACAAGGAUGAAGCAGAAACAUCUGGUCGGUUUUAGAUUCCCCUUGGAUUUCCAACUUCAAAGGGAAUUAUAAAGAAUAACAAAUUCAUGUACCGGCACUAAAAAAAAAUUAGAGCAGCAGGAGAGAAUGGUAAAAUUGUCCUUAUUUGACUGCUAGUGACAGGCGCCACAGGCAGAACUAUGAGAAAAGACAAAGGCAAGAUCACCAGUUGACAACCAGAGUUCCUGCAAGAGACUGAAUCUUUGGCUACAUGCAAAUAUGCACAGGGCCCUUAACAAUCCAUAGGGAGAUUUACUUGCUUAAGGAAAAUAAAUAGGUAAAUAAAUAAAAGGAGUUGAAAGGU
Molecule: long non-coding RNA, 372 nt
Organism: Homo sapiens (human)
Lineage: Eukaryota; Metazoa; Chordata; Mammalia; Primates; Hominidae
Gene: ZBTB20-AS2
Product: ZBTB20 antisense RNA 2
Source: Ensembl